GAUGAACGCUGGCGGCGUGCCUAAUACAUGCAAGUCGAGCGAACAGACGAGGAGCUUGCUCCUCUGACGUUAGCGGCGGACGGGUGAGUAACACGUGGAUAACCUACCUAUAAGACUGGGAUAACUUCGGGAAACCGGAGCUAAUACCGGAUAAUAUAUUGAACCGCAUGGUUCAAUAGUGAAAGACGGUUUUGCUGUCACUUAUAGAUGGAUCCGCGCCGCAUUAGCUAGUUGGUAAGGUAACGGCUUACCAAGGCAACGAUGCGUAGCCGACCUGAGAGGGUGAUCGGCCACACUGGAACUUGGACACGGUCCAGACUCCUACGGGAGGCAGCAGUAGGCAAUCUUCCGCAAUGGGCGAAAGCUUGACGGAGCAACGCCGCGUGAGUGAUGAAGGUCUUCGGAUCGUAAAACUCUGUUAUUAGGGAAGAACAAAUGUGUAAGUAACUAUGCACGUCUUGACGGUACCUAAUCAGAAAGCCACGGCUAACUACGUG
Molecule: ribosomal RNA, 497 nt
Filed under: uncultured bacterium
Lineage: Bacteria
Description: partial 16S ribosomal RNA
Rfam family: Bacterial small subunit ribosomal RNA
Source: RNAcentral